RNAcentral lists this ribosomal RNA (446 nucleotides) under uncultured bacterium. Its description in RNAcentral is "partial 16S ribosomal RNA". It matches the Rfam family "Bacterial small subunit ribosomal RNA", at positions 354 to 796 of the family's 1533-position model. The record is from RNAcentral.
GUAAGGAAUAUUGGUCAAUGGGGGCAACCCUGAACCAGCCAUGCCGCGUGAAGGAUGAAGGCGUUAUGCGUUGUAAACUUCUUUUGUAUGGGAAGAAUGACAGGGAUUUAUCCUUGGAGAGACGGUACCAUACGAAUAAGCACCGGCUAACUCCGUGCCAGCAGCCGCGGUAAUACGGAGGGUGCAAGCGUUAUCCGGAAUCACUGGGUUUAAAGGGUACGUAGGCGGUUAAUUAAGUCAGUAGUGAAAGACUGUCGCUCAACGACGGAUGUGCUAUUGAUACUGGUUAACUUGAAUCAGGUUAGAGUUGGCGGAAUGUGACAUGUAGCGGUGAAAUGCAUAGAUAUGUCAUGGAACACCAAUUGCGAAGGCAGCUAGCUGGGCCUUGAUUGACGCUGAGGCACGAAAGCGUGGGUAGCGAACAGGAUUAGAAACCCGAGUAGUCC